GAUGAACGCUAGCGGCAGGCUUAACACAUGCAAGUCGAGGGGUAUUGGUUUUCGGACCAAGAGACCGGCGCACGGGUGCGUAACGCGUAUGCAAUCUACCUUUUGCAGAGGGAUAGCCCCAGAGAAAUUUGGAUUAAUACCUCAUAGUAUAGUACUUUGGCAUCAAGGAACUAUUAAAGUCACAACGGCAAAAGAUGAGCAUGCGUCCCAUUAGCUAGUUGGUAAGGUAACGGCUUACCAAGGCUACGAUGGGUAGGGGUCCUGAGAGGGAGAUCCCCCACACUGGUACUGAGACACGGACCAGACUCCUACGGGAGGCAGCAGUGAGGAAUAUUGGACAAUGGGGCGCAAGCCUGAUCCAGCCAUGCCGCGUGCAGGAUGACGGUCCUAUGGAUUGUAAACUGCUUUAUACAGGAAGAAACACUCCGACGUGUCGGAGCUUGACGGUACUGUAAGAAUAAGGAUCGGACUAACUCCGUGCCAGCAGCCGCGGUAAA
RNAcentral lists this ribosomal RNA (497 nucleotides) under uncultured bacterium. RNAcentral describes it as "bacterial SSU rRNA". It matches the Rfam family "Bacterial small subunit ribosomal RNA", at positions 28 to 524 of the family's 1533-position model. The record is from RNAcentral.